AACUUGUCUAUCCAUCAAUCCGAUUCACUGAUUGAUCGAAGGAACAAAGUAACUCGAAGAAGCUGACCAUCAGCUUAAUACGAAACACUAAUAAACCAUUGAUAAUAUGAAGAAACCAGUUGACAGCAAUUGAUACACUUUACAAGUUC
Molecule: non-coding RNA, 149 nt
Organism: Caenorhabditis elegans
Lineage: Eukaryota; Metazoa; Nematoda; Chromadorea; Rhabditida; Rhabditidae
Source: Ensembl